This 1871-nucleotide long non-coding RNA is filed under the name Rattus norvegicus (Norway rat). Its description in RNAcentral is "rCG57257-like (LOC100365289)". The record is from RNAcentral. Lineage: Eukaryota; Metazoa; Chordata; Mammalia; Rodentia; Muridae.
CGUCUUCAACGGCGGCGGCGGUGGCUUCUGGGGAUGGAGGACCUUGGGGAGAGGUCGGAACCGGGACAGACGGACGUACUCGGGAACCGGCGAUGGACGCGCCCGAUGCUCCCCCUGCGGGGGACGCUUAGCUAGGCACUCCCGGCUAGGAAUGAUGGCGUCGCGGGGAUCAGGAAGAACAGAUUUCUGUGGAAACAAGGGCAGAGCUGAGAGAUCCGGGCGUGGCCUGAUAUCACCGCGCGACCUCAGCGAACAGGAAGAGCGGGAGGAUGCGGGCGCAGCCUGAGGACGUCAUGGCGCGACCACAGGAAACAGGCCGAGUCACAGAACCGGACUUGGGUAACUGGAGCCGUUGCGGCUUGAGGACGUCACAGCCGCUGCGACAAGGCCACGGAGAACCGUAUGAAACCUGAGCGGACCGAUGCGGCGCGGCGUGAUGGUGUCACGAAGCGCUACAAUGACACCACGACCCGGACACCAUUAAAGACUGACGCGCUCCGGGCACCGGCGCCCCGCGAUGGUGUCACCGGGAGCGACGGAAUAGCGGCGGUCCUGAAGGACUUGGGCAGCGGCUUUCAAAGUGGUGAUCCGGAUUCUUGAUAAUGGCGUCACGGAUUCUUGAUAAUGGCGUCACAGUUGCAGCGAUAGAGGGGACCGGAAGCAGACGUGCAGUGACGUCUUCUGAGGUUCUUCCGACAGCCUGGCAGAAGUGUAUGUUAUUGAUGCGCAGUGGCGGUGCUUUGUGAUCCAGCGCGUUUCAGUCAUUGUGACUGGACGGGACAGAGGCUGUCUCACUACCUGUCAUCUCCCUGCCUUGACUUUCUGACCUGUCACAGGGAUAGGAAGUAACCUCGGUCCGUUGUGAUUACGUCAUUAACCCCGCCCUCAGUGUGGACCCUAAAUGGCAGAUUCCCUGAUUACUGUACUCCAUGGUGGCCCCUGUCUACUGGGGAGGGGCAUUGAUUCUAGCGCAGCCACACCUGUGGGCUCUUUGGAAUGAACCUGAGAUAAGUUCUCCCAUCUCUGGCUGCCUCCGGUGACCUUGACCCCAGACUUUUGCUUCCUAGGUCAAUACCUUGCUGACCUUUUUAUUAAACUAACCACAUCCUUAAAUUAAAUAGCGGUGUUGCCACUCAGUCACCCACCCAGUCACUGACACAUGGAGUCUAUGGGUUCUGUGUGUCUGGUUUCGUGCUGGUCUUUGAUGCACAUGGACUUGGAGGACAUGGAGCUAUUUUGCCAUCUGACUUGCAACUAUCUAAUCAGCACCAUUUGUUGACGAUGCACUCGGGUAUGGAAGACACCUCAAAUUAAAAGAUGGGCCUACCUCGGGGACCUCAAUUGCGCAAGAUGGUUUAGUUACCCUGGCCUUUUGUUUGUUUGGUUUUGUUUUUCCCUGUGUGAUUGAGUAUUGCAAUGUCUGUAAGUUUGUGUUGGAAUUUCGGCAGGGAUUGUUUUAAAUCUGAUGGCAGCUCGGAGACUGUGCUUUUAUUAUGUUAGGUCUACACAUUCUUUAGCGUGACAGGUCUUUCAGUCUUCUAACAUCGUAUUCAGUUUCUUUCCCCUAACACUGGCGUCCUUGUCAUGCGAGGCAGUCGCUGGCUUUUCAGUUUCUCCUGCGUAUAGUACACGAGGCUAGCGAGCCGUGUUUUGUCUCCCUACUCUCAGUCCCUUUCUUGUCUGUGUAUAGGAAGGUCAUGGGUUUGUUUAUUUUCUGUUGGUUGUGUACACAGCAACUUUGCUCACAGUGUUCAUCUGCUGCAAGAGCAGUCUGUGGGGUUUUUUGACUGACUUGUGUGCAAUCACAUCACCUGAAAUAAAAAUGACUUCUUCCUUUGUGGUUUUUAAAAAAAAAAAAAAAAAAAAAAAAA